Tupaia belangeri chinensis (Chinese tree shrew) is the source of this 535-nucleotide long non-coding RNA. RefSeq lists it as uncharacterized. Lineage: Eukaryota; Metazoa; Chordata; Mammalia; Scandentia; Tupaiidae. The transcript is spliced from 2 exons. The record is from RefSeq and is a predicted model, not a curated record.
CGCGGGCCUCUCAGGUCCCGUCGCAGCGGGACUUUCGAUCUCACUUCCCCGCACCGCGACGUGGGGCCGGGCCUGGCCCGGGCCGGGAGCUUCCCUGGAGCUCCGCCUGCCUGGGCCCGCGGCGGUGUGCUCCACUGCUGUGGUUUGCAGCCUUGGGGCGCUGGGAGACAGUGAUCCCUGUGAGAAGCCCAUGAAAGGUACAAAUUCUCUCCCUAACGGUGCACAGAAUCCUUUUGCCAAAAAGGGCCUAGAAGCAGCUGCCGCUUAUGCAAGGACUGCAGGGAAGACCCGCGGUCACUGGGUCAAACGCUCCGACCUCGCGCGCUCCUGCGAUGGCCCUUCUCCUCUCACCGCGUACCCUCUUCAGAGUUGAAGCAGCCUAAUGAAUUGCCCUGGGACCUGAAGUUCUUCAGCAAUAUUAACAUUUGGCUAGACACCAACACAUAACAGGAGCUGUGUAACCUAUCAGACACCCUCUGCUGGGAAUUCAUAAUACAGACAUCAUUCAAAAGGACAAUAAAGCUAAAUAUGCAAA